Molecule: ribosomal RNA, 510 nt
Filed under: uncultured bacterium
Lineage: Bacteria
Description: partial 16S ribosomal RNA
Rfam family: Bacterial small subunit ribosomal RNA
Source: RNAcentral
GACGAACGCUGGCGGCGUGCUUAACACAUGCAAGUCGAACGAAGAGCGAUGGAAGCUUGCUUCUAUCAAUCUUAGUGGCGAACGGGCGAGUAACGCGUAAUCAACCUGCCCUUCAGAGGGGGACAACAGUUGGAAACGACUGCUAAUACCGCAUACGAUCUAAUCUCGGCAUCGAGGAUAGAUGAAAGGUGGCCUCUACAUGUAAGCUAUCACUGAAGGAGGGGAUUGCGUCUGAUUAGCUAGUUGGAGGGGUAACGGCCCACCAAGGCGAUGAUCAGUAGCCGGUCUGAGAGGAUGAACGGCCACAUUGGGACUGAGACACGGCCCAGACUCCUACGGGGAGCAGCAGUGGGGAAUCUUCCGCAAUGGACGAAAGUCUGACGGAGCAACGCCGCGUGAGUGAUGACGGCCUUCGGGUUGUAAAGCUCUGUUAAUCGGGACGAAAGGCCUUCUUGCGAAUAGUGAGAAGGAUUGACGGUACCGGAAUAGAAAGCCACGGCUAACUACGUG